UACGUAGGGGGCGAGCGUUGUCCGGAUUUAUUGGGCGUAAAGAGCGUGUAGGCGGCUUGGUAGGUCUUGCGUCAAAACCUGAGGCUCAACCUCAGUUCGCGUGGGAAACCAUCUAGCUAGAGUCCGGAAGAGGAGAACGGAAUUCCCAGUGUAGCGGUGAAAUGCGCAGAUAUUGGGAAGAACACCAGUGGCGAAGGCGGUUCUCUGGGACGGUACUGACGCUGAGACGCGAAAGCGUGGGGAGCGAACAGG
RNAcentral lists this ribosomal RNA (252 nucleotides) under uncultured bacterium. RNAcentral's name for it is "partial 16S ribosomal RNA". It matches the Rfam family "Bacterial small subunit ribosomal RNA", at positions 524 to 776 of the family's 1533-position model. The record is from RNAcentral.